Molecule: long non-coding RNA, 242 nt
Organism: Austrofundulus limnaeus
Lineage: Eukaryota; Metazoa; Chordata; Actinopteri; Cyprinodontiformes; Rivulidae
Exons: 3
Source: RefSeq, a predicted model, not a curated record
CUUGGAUUCUGGAUUCUCGCCCUCACCCUCUUUGGAUCUGUUCAGCCAUCUGCAUCUCUGUCUCAGUCUCUCGGACCCAAACAACGUUGUGACGUCAUUAUGUUCUGCCGGAACCCUCUGAGUUUCAACUUUGUGUCUCCACAAACCCAACACAGUCAAGUCAGAGAAACCAGAUCGUUGUGCUGCCCGAGAGAGAUUCAACACCAACAACUUGCUGUUUGCCAAUAAAAGCUUUAAACUUU